AACGAACGCUGGCGGCAUGCCUAACACAUGCAAGUCGAACGAGACCUUCGGGUCUAGUGGCGCACGGGUGCGUAACGCGUGGGAACCUGCCCUUAGGUUCGGAAUAACUCCCCGAAAGGGGUGCUAAUACCGGAUAAUGUCUUCGGACCAAAGAUUUAUCGCCUUUGGAUGGGCCCGCGUUGGAUUAGCUAGUUGGUAGGGUAAAAGCCUACCAAGGCGACGAUCCAUAGCUGGUCUGAGAGGAUGAUCAGCCACACUGGGACUGAGACACGGCCCAGACUCCUACGGGAGGCAGCAGUGGGGAAUAUUGGACAAUGGGCGAAAGCCUGAUCCAGCAAUGCCGCGUGAGUGAUGAAGGCCUUAGGGUUGUAAAGCUCUUUUACCCGGGAUGAUAAUGACAGUACCGGGAGAAUAAGCUCCGGCUAACCCCGUGC
RNAcentral lists this ribosomal RNA (434 nucleotides) under uncultured bacterium. RNAcentral's name for it is "partial 16S ribosomal RNA". It matches the Rfam family "Bacterial small subunit ribosomal RNA", at positions 29 to 508 of the family's 1533-position model. The record is from RNAcentral.